Molecule: small RNA, 559 nt
Filed under: Pongo abelii (Sumatran orangutan)
Lineage: Eukaryota; Metazoa; Chordata; Mammalia; Primates; Hominidae
Description: processed transcript
Source: RNAcentral
GUAAGUGGGGCCGGGUCGGGUGGGGGCGGCCCGCGGUGUCGCGGCUCCCGGCCUCCUCGUGGUCCGACCUGCGGUUUGGGCCCGCGGCUGGUGGGACCCGGCGACUCCAUAGGCCUCAGUUUCUCCUCUGGUAACGCCAAAAAGCAAAUGGAUUUCCACCUGACAAAUCCUCGGGAUCCAAGAAGCAGAAACAGUAUCAGCGGAUUCGGAAGGAGAAGCCUCAACAACACAACUUCACCCACCGCCUCCUGGCUGCAGCUCUGAAGAGCCACAGCGGGAACAUAUCUUGCAUGGACUUUAGCAGCAAUGGCAAAUACCUGGCCACCUGUGCAGAUGAUCGCACCAUCCGCAUCUGGAGCACCAAGGACUUCCUGCAGCGAGAGCACCGCAGCAUGAGAGCCAACGUGGAGCUGGAUCACGCCACCCUGAGCCUUCAUCGUCUGGCUGGCCAACGGGGACACCCUCCGUGUCUUCAAGAUGACCAAGCGGGAGGAUGGGGGCUAUACCUUCACAGCCACCCCAGAGGACUUCCCUAAAAAGCACAAGGCGCCUGUCAUCG